CUCGUAGGCGGUUCGUCGCGUCCGGUGUGAAAGUCCAUCGCUUAACGGUGGAUCCGCGCCGGGUACGGGCGGGCUUGAGUGCGGUAGGGGAGACUGGAAUUCCCGGUGUAACGGUGGAAUGUGUAGAUAUCGGGAAGAACACCAAUGGCGAAGGCGACCUACUGGGCACCAACUGACGCUGAGGCUCGAAAGCAUGGGUAGCAAACA
This 207-nucleotide ribosomal RNA is filed under the name uncultured bacterium. RNAcentral's name for it is "partial 16S ribosomal RNA". It matches the Rfam family "Bacterial small subunit ribosomal RNA", at positions 568 to 774 of the family's 1533-position model. The record is from RNAcentral.